RNAcentral lists this ribosomal RNA (23 nucleotides) under Raperostelium minutum. Its description in RNAcentral is "partial 26S ribosomal RNA". Lineage: Eukaryota; Evosea; Eumycetozoa; Dictyosteliales; Raperosteliaceae. The record is from RNAcentral.
UCCGCCUCAACCAAGUGGGAUUA